AUUGAACGCUGGCGGCAUGCCUUACACAUGCAAGUCGAACGGCAGCACGGGAGCAAUCCUGGUGGCGAGUGGCGAACGGGUGAGUAAUAUAUCGGAACGUGCCCAGUCGUGGGGAUAACGUAGCGAAAGCUACGCUAAUACCGCAUACGAUCUAUGGAUGAAAGCGGGGGAUCGCAAGACCUCGCGCGAUUGGAGCGGCCGAUAUCAGAUUAGGUAGUUGGUGAGGUAAAGGCUCACCAAGCCGACGAUCUGUAGCUGGUCUGAGAGGACGACCAGCCACACUGGGACUGAGACACGGCCCAGACUCCUACGGGAGGCAGCAGUGGGGAAUUUUUGGACAAUGGGCGCAAGCCUGAUCCAGCAAUGCCGCGUGCAGGAUGAAGGCCUUGGUUGUAACUGCUUUGUACGAACGAACGGUGAGCGUCUAAUACAGUUUGCUAAUGACGUACCGUAAGAAUAAGCA
RNAcentral lists this ribosomal RNA (463 nucleotides) under uncultured bacterium. RNAcentral's name for it is "bacterial SSU rRNA". It matches the Rfam family "Bacterial small subunit ribosomal RNA", at positions 30 to 492 of the family's 1533-position model. The record is from RNAcentral.